CCUACGGGAGGCAGCAGUAGGGAAUUUUCGGCAAUGGGGGGAACCCUGACCGAGCAACGCCGCGUGAACGAAGAAGUUAUUCGUAAUGUAAAGUUCUUUUAACAGGGAAGAAAGAGAAAUUUGACGGUACCUGAAGAAUAAGCUCCGGCUAACUACGUGCCAGCAGCCGCGGUAAUCCGUAGGGAGCGACCGUUAUCCGGAAUUAUUGGGCGAAAGGGGUGCGUAGAUGGCAUAGUAAGUCUUUUGUAAAAAUGCUGGGCUCAACCCAGUAGGGCAAAAGAUACUGCAAAGCUAGAGUAUGACAGAGGCAAGUGGAACUACAUGUGUAGCGGUAAAAUGCGUAAAUAUAUGGAAGAACACCAGUGGCGAAGGCGGCUUGCUGGGUCGAUACUGACAUUGAGGCACGAAAGCGUGGGGAGCAAACAGGAUUAGAUACCCCAGUAGUC
This 446-nucleotide ribosomal RNA is filed under the name uncultured bacterium. Its description in RNAcentral is "partial 16S ribosomal RNA". It matches the Rfam family "Bacterial small subunit ribosomal RNA", at positions 338 to 795 of the family's 1533-position model. The record is from RNAcentral.